GAUGAACGCUGGCGGCGUGCCUAAUACAUGCGAGUCGAGCGAACAGACGAGGAGCUUGCUCCUCUGACGUUAGCGGCGGACGGGUGAGUAACACGUGGAUAACCUACCUAUAAGACUGGGAUAACUUCGGGAAACCGGAGCUAAUACCGGAUAAUAUAUUGAACCGCAUGGUUCAAUAGUGAAAGGCGGUUUUGCUGUCACUUAUAGAUGGAUCCGCGCCGCAUUAGCUAGUUGGUAAGGUAACGGCUUACCAAGGCGCCGAUGCGUAGCCGACCUGAGAGGGUGAUCGGCCACACUGGAACUGAGACACGGUCCAGACUCCUACGGGAGGCAGCAGUAGGGAAUCUUCCGCAAUGGGCGAAAGCUUGACGGAGCAACGCCGCGUGAGUGAUGAAGGUCUUCGGAUCGUAAAACUCUGUUAUUAGGGAAGAACAAAUGUGUAAGUAACUAUGCACGUCUUGACGGUACCUAAUCAGAAAGCCACGGCUAACUACGUG
Molecule: ribosomal RNA, 497 nt
Filed under: uncultured bacterium
Lineage: Bacteria
Description: partial 16S ribosomal RNA
Rfam family: Bacterial small subunit ribosomal RNA
Source: RNAcentral